GACGAACGCUGGCGGCGUGCCUAAUACAUGCAAGUAGAACGCACAGGAUGCACCGUAGUUUACUACACCGUAUUCUGUGAGUUGCGAACGGGUGAGUAACGCGUAGGUAACCUGCCUGGUAGCGGGGGAUAACUAUUGGAAACGAUAGCUAAUACCGUAUAAGAACAUUUACUGCAUGGUAGAUGUUUAAAAGGUGCAAGAGCAUCACUACCAGAUGGACCUGCGUUGUAUUAGCUAGUUGGUGAGGUAACGGCUCACCAAGGCAACGAUACAUAGCCGACCUGAGAGGGUGAUCGGCCACACUGGGACUGAGACACGGCCCAGACUCCUACGGGAGGCAGCAGUAGGGAAUCUUCGGCAAUGGGGGGAACCCUGACCGAGCAACGCCGCGUGAGUGAAGAAGGUUUUCGGAUCGUAAAGCUCUGUUGUUAAGGAAGAACGUGUGUGAGA
Molecule: ribosomal RNA, 450 nt
Filed under: Streptococcus constellatus
Lineage: Bacteria; Bacillati; Bacillota; Bacilli; Lactobacillales; Streptococcaceae
Description: bacterial SSU rRNA
Rfam family: Bacterial small subunit ribosomal RNA
Source: RNAcentral